RNAcentral lists this long non-coding RNA (809 nucleotides) under Aedes aegypti (yellow fever mosquito). Its description in RNAcentral is "lncRNA AAEL027302". Lineage: Eukaryota; Metazoa; Arthropoda; Insecta; Diptera; Culicidae. The record is from RNAcentral.
AGCCAUUAGACCACCAACCCUGUCUUUACUAGUGGAUUUCGAGCAUUGAUUAAAAAGACACAUUCCACGCACAUCUACGCCAGGAUACACGGGAAAAAAUCUGAUCCCAUUUUCAUGAUUUACGAAUCAUGAAAAUUAUAAAUUGCUCUUGGGACGAAAUCAUGAUUCAGACUCAUGAUUUUUGAAGCUGAGCUACCACUAUCAUGAUUCAGAGCAACCAUUUUCAUGAGCUCCAAAUCAUGACCAUGAAAAGCGUUACGCACACGGUGCACCUGUCAAAACGUGUUUAGCAAAGCUUGUGCAAAGCAUAGUUGGCUGCGCAUUCACGGAAAAGUUGCCCUUUUUUUAAAAAAAAAGUUCACUUUUAUUGCCGGUUUCCUGCGCCGCUGUUGCUCUACUGUCGUUCCUGCUCUACUAUUCCGUUCCUGCUCCGUUGAUAUCGAGCUAUUCCGGCUCUGCAGAACUACCGCCGUUUCAUUCUGUUGCCCGUUCCGGCUCCGCAUUGAGGGAAAAUUCUUCCGGCUCCGCUCUACUAACUACCGGUAAGUGAUACAAAAUUAAUCCAUUUUUGCGCCUGUAAUCGAAAUCCAUUUUGACCAUUUUCCACCGUCUUCUCUUUUUAGCCGUUUUGUUGUCCCAGUGCCACUGUCGCCAUUCCCGCCGCGGCUGUUGCCGUCCAAUAGGUGCAUCCGUUCCGGCUCCGCAUUGAGUUACCAGCUCCGCCCUACCAACUACCGCUCCCGAUUUUGUUGCCGUUCCGGACGUUUCGUUUUCAGCCUUGGCUGGUUCCGCCCAGUAGGUGUUUCCCG